CUAAGAUUGGCUUGGCCGCAAAGACUGAUGGGAGAACUUUGCGGUUUGAGAGACAUUUUGGAUUUAAAGGGGCUGGGCUAGCCGAAGGUUCUAGCUGUCGGUGUCCCUGAGCUUGAAUAAAGAUGUCCACUAUGGUGUAUCCACGGGAAGAGAAGCUCGAGAAGCUCUCUCAAGAGGAAAUUAUCUCGAACACCAAGUUAGUAAUCCAGGGUCUGGAGGCCCUGAAGAAUGAGCACAACUCCAUCCUCCACAGUCUCCUGGAGACAAUCAAGUGCCUGAAGAAGGACGAAGAGGCCAACCUGGUGCACGAGAAGUCUAACCUGUUGCGCAAGUCAGUGGAGAUGAUUGAGCUUGGGCUUGGUGAAGCACAGGUGAUGAUGGCCCUGUCCAACCAUCUGAAUGCGGUGGAGUCCGAGAAGCAGAAGCUGCGUGCGCAGGUGAGGAGGCUUUGCCAGGAAAACCAGUGGCUGCGAGACGAGCUGGCUAACACCCAACAGAAGCUGCAAAAGAGCGAGCAAAAUGUCGCGCAGCUUGAGGAAGAGAAGAAACAUCUGGAGUUCAUGAACCAGCUCAAGAAAUACGAUGAGGACGCCUCCCCCACUCAGGAGGAAAAGGACAGAGAGACACCAAAGGACUCCCUGGAUGAUCUCUUCCCCAAUGAUGAGGAGGAGCAUGGCCAAGGAAUGCAGCACCAACACAACAGUGCAGCGGUGGCUGCAGCCCAGCAGGGAGGCUAUGAGAUCCCGGCUCGCCUGAGAACCCUGCACAACCUGGUGAUCCAGUAUGCUUCUCAGGGCAGGUAUGAGGUAGCUGUGCCUCUCUGCAAGCAAGCUUUGGAGGACCUGGAGAAAACUUCUGGACAUGACCACCCUGAUGUGGCAACCAUGCUCAACAUCUUGGCCUUAGUUUAUAGGGAUCAGAAUAAGUACAAAGAAGCCGCCCAUCUUCUCAAUGAUGCUCUGUCCAUCCGGGAGAAGACUUUGGGGAAAGACCAUCCUGCUGUUGCAGCAACAUUGAACAACCUGGCUGUGCUGUAUGGAAAGAGGGGGAAAUACAAGGAGGCGGAGCCCCUGUGCAAGAGGGCUCUCGAGAUCCGAGAGAAGGUCCUGGGGAAAGACCAUCCAGAUGUGGCCAAACAGCUGAACAACCUGGCCCUGCUGUGUCAGAAUCAGGGCAAGUAUGAGGAGGUGGAGUACUACUACUGCCGGGCCUUGGAGAUCUACGAAUGUAGGCUGGGCCCGGAUGAUCCCAAUGUGGCCAAAACCAAGAACAACCUGGCGUCCUGCUUCCUUAAACAGGGGAAAUACAAGGAGGCUGAGAUUCUUUAUAAAGAGAUUCUGACUCGUGCUCAUGAGAAAGAAUUUGGAUCAGUUGAUGCUGAAAACAAGCCCAUCUGGAUGCAUGCUGAGGAAAGAGAGGAGAUGAGCAAGGGCAAGCACAGGGACAACACGCCGUAUGGGGAGUAUGGAGGCUGGUAUAAAGCCUGCAAAGUCAACAGCCCCACUGUAAACACCACACUGAGGAACCUGGGGGCCCUGUACCGCCGUCAGGGCAAGCUUGAAGCUGCAGAGACUCUGGAGGAGUGUGCCGUGAGAUCCCGCAAACAGGGCAUUGACCCCAUCCACCAGACACGCGUGGUGGAGAUUCUGAAGGAUGCAGAGAGCGACAAGCGAAGGAGCAGGGAGAGCCUGACCAGCGUCAAGUAUGAAAGCGGCUCUGAAACUGGCGAGGAAGUGAGUAUGGGCGUGGAGUGGAAUGGGGCCUAAGCCAUCAAGAUUAUUCCUCCAUCCCUCUCUCCUUCCCCCAACCAAUAGCUAAAGGAUGUGUGUUGUCGUCCUCCCCACCCCCAGCUCCUCUCCAGUGUCCCCCUCCCCAGCAGAGAAAGCAUCUCUCCCCUCCCUCGGCUGUCACACACCAGUCCGCUGUCCAGCUGAGACCUGCCGGGACGUUUGGUCUUCUCAUCUCCGCUUCUCCUGGUUUCCUGUCUUUUGGCGCCCUCUACCCUUUCCUUUCACUAACCCAAUGUUUCACUCACUUGUGUGUGUGUGUGUGUGUGUGUGUGGAAUCUCUCCCUUCCUUCCCCUCGUUUUCCUCUUCCCAUCAACUUGCUUUGCCAUGUUACACAUAUGCACAGUAUAUUUAUUUUAACAAAAUAGAAAUGGCGGCAUAGUAGAAAACAUGGUAUUGGACAGUCAACAGAGUUCCUAUUAGUGCUUCAAUUCUGAAAUCAGCAUCUGCAUCACGCGUUGCCCGCUUUUAUUUGACUGAAGCCGAUCGAUCUUAUGUUUUGCUACAUUGUAUUUUUUUUUUUUUUUUAAAUGCAGGUAUUUUGUGUUUAAUAUUGUGAACUAAUCUCAAGAGAUUGCCUGAAUGGUUACGGUACUGUAUAGUUUCACAUGCUUAUAUCAAAAUAUGCCAUGUUGGAAGCUGAGAGCUGGCCAGAACAAGAAGCGAGUCUUUUGUUUUGUCGAUUUAAAAAAAAAACAAAACAAAACAAAACAAAAAACGUAUUUCAUUUUGUAUGAUUUGUUUACAUUUUUUUUUUACUUUUUUUUUUUUUUUACAUAGAUGCCAAUACACAGACUUGCCAAUAUCCGACUCUGACAGCAAACUGUCAGAUGACAAAAUCCUUUUGUUGCCAUGGUAAUUCAUUCUCUGGCUGCUCUUCUUGUCUUCGGUGUCCUUGCUCUUUGCACUGUUUUCUGUGUGAUACAUGAACACACAAGGCUGCGAAUGAAAGGAAAAGCUGCAUGAUGUUGUAUACGGUGACAGCAGAGACCAACAGGAGCAUCACACACGGAUGAGAAAUGCAAAAUAUGAUCAGAAAUCAGUGUCGCAAACACUAUUGCCUUUAUUAUUGUUAUUAUUUAAGCGGAAGCCGUGAUUCACAUUAGCGUUGGAAUAGACUCGUGCGUCCACAUUGUCGACAUCAGUUUUAGUGAAACGUGGUUCUGUUCCACCAAAAGUAAAAGUGUUUCUUCAUCUAUAACAUCCACUACUGUUACUUCACAUGUUUCACUAACUGUGCAUUUUUAACAUCUUGGAAGUGUCGUCGUUGGCUGUACUCACUCUAGUAGUGCAUUCACUCUCCAGCUUUUCACUGUUCUACUUGCAUUGAUUCUUCAUUCCUUUCAAUGAGUGCAUCUGUACGUCUACUUCAAUUCUCAGCUAUACAAUUGACCAUGUGCAUCACAUAAUUAGAACAAUAAUGUUGUGUUAGUGGAAUGCUUAUUUAUUGAACUGUCUACUCUUGACUAUAUAUAUAGAUAUAUAUAAACAGUGUGACUUCAUUUCUCCAAUGUGGAAGAACAUACAUGCUUUUAGGUCUAGUAGCACCAUCUUAGUAGUAGAACUGCGUCAUGUUUACCAGUCUGCAUUGUGAAGAUGACUGCAUCAACACUUGUUGGUAUCUCAAAUAAAGUUUUUUUUUUUCAUUUGUGAAAAUGGUCUUUUCCCGUCACAUUUUUAUAUAUAUAAGUUUGGCUGCACACUUGGAAAAACUCUGUUUGAGGUGUUUUUUUAUGUUAAUGCAAGUUGCUUAUUAAGAGGAUAACAAGAAAAAAGAAGGUCAUUCACUUUGGUUACAAAAAGUCUUUUUACAUACUUCUUAUUCCCAUUCAUUUAUUUUUGUAUUACCUGAAAAACAUUUGCGCUCUCACCUUUUAUCUGUAUAUGACGUACAUGCACCAUAUCCUUCUCCAGGAAAAAGCUGAUACUUUGUUAUAAAAGUCUGAUAACAUUCUGGUGAGCUUGGGUAUACAGUCGUCCCUCAUUUAUCAUGGUUAAUUGAUUGCAGGCCCGACCUUGAUAAGUGAAUUUCAGAAUAUUUUCAGAGUUAGCGCAUAGAUUACCACUAUUAUAGCCCUGUAUACAUAAAAUAACACCCUUGAAGUCACCUUUACACUCCUCUUAUUCAUUGUUUACACCACAUUGCUCAAUUGUAAUGCGCAGGCUACGGGAUCAUUGCAGGGACACAAGGGAACGCAACCGAGCUAACUAGAUAGCCUCAAAUUUAUUAUUCUAAACUUAAGAAUGGGUUUCAAAUGGAGUAGGGAAGGACAAAGUAAGAAGCCAAAAACUUACCACUUCCACACGGAAUGGGAGGAGAACCUUUUUUGCACUAUGUCGGACAUGCCAUGGCUGACUCCAUGCAGUGUUAAGGUAAUCUAAUCUAAUGCCAUGUCUCACCAAUGUAACAUUACUGACGUCUAGUCACCAGAAUACUCCAUAUAACUCGUCUUUAAUGUUUUUUUUUUUACUAAUAACAGUCCAUAGUCAACCAUGAACAGCGGUCAUUAAUUCAUUUUUGAAAAAAGGAGAUAGUGAGGGAGCAAUGUAGGAACUGCAGUGUAGCAAGGGACGACUGCAUGUGAUCCUCAGUCUUGGCAGGCAAACAUUCAUUCAUUCAUUCAUUCAUUCAUUCAUUCAGUCAGUCAGUCAGUCAGUCAGUCAGUCAGUCAGCAGAGCAUAAACAAUAUCUUGCAUUUGACUUGCUGCUCUCCAGCUGUCAAAAAAAAAAGAGCUGGCUUUUCCUCUCUAUGGAAGGGCGGCAGUGACAAACACCAUCCAGCUCACGCACACCCCCACCCCGCAGGAUGAAGAGUACUGCAAGCACCUCCCUGACAUAAGUAAUCAUCCCACAUGUCUUUUAUUCCAGUCCGAUGUUGGCAUCCCUCCAUUUGAAAGGGUUGAAUUUCAGCUUCACUUUUUUUGUCCACUCACAAUGGCUGUGGUUUAAGUCUGCAUAUUAGUUGAAUACCAAAUACAAGGGGAAAGUUUAACAAUCAUGAUAAAGCAAUAUCCGAAGUACAAAAAUACAACCAACAAUAAAGCCUUUUUGAGGCUGCGCCGUAUGGGGAUUGGAACACCAAUACAAAUGAAAUCUUCAUUAUUAAACACUUUUAAUGCACAAAAUAAUCAUCAAACUUACUCAUUUGUUCACAUGAUGCACACAGAGUAAUGAACAACUUCAUGCACUGCCUCCUUUCUGCUCCGUUUUCCUUACCCUACAUCAUCAGUAGGGUAACACUAACCUGUCUCACGACGGUUAGCGCAAGCGAGGGGAAACAUCCAUAAAAAUAAAGUCGGUAUGGUCACAGCAAACCAUUUUUAUUCACCAUUGCAAUUGGUGUACCCCAUUUUGGGAACAUAGGGUGUGUAAUAAAUGCUGACAAACAGGAACUGGCACACGCCAUGAUCCAGCGCUCACUGAGUGCACUCAGACGGCCGGCUGACCUGGCGUACGAAGCCGAGAAGAGACGCUUCUUAUGUUUGUGGCCUGUCUAAGAUCAGGGAAAUCGGCAAAUUCAGUGAUUUUUACUUGCGAAAAGCAUUAUUGGAAUCAUACAGAAAAUACAUGAUACAGUUCAAUGGACAAAUAUGAAUAUUUUUUAUUUUUCUUCAUGACAUCAUCUGCCGGCAGAGAGGUGAAAGCUUUAUUUAUGCACUUUAUUUCACUAUUGAAUCAUUCCUCUGAAUUGUGUGUAUAAAAUGCUUAGGAGCAAAAGAAAACACUGCUAUCCCUCAUGUUGAGUCGCCCCUGGUUUUCCAGCUAUUUGUUCAAUUUUAAAUGCGAUACCAAUAACUGGAACUUCAGUGCUUCACUUUUAAUGCUUGUAAUGUACUCACACCUUUCCCUGCUGGUGAUGCGGCAGUAUGGCACAAUGAUGCUUGACGACUUGUUCCAUAAUGUAAAAAUAAUCUGAGUCUGAACAGAACAUUAACUCCCGAAGAUGCAGAACAAUUUAAGUGCCUCUGACCUGCAGACUUUAAAACAAGUCAUAGUAACUCGUCUGUGCCAAAGUGUUUCUCCUGUAUCAUGUAAUGCCUGCAUGUGAAUCUGUGAGUCUGUUGCCUGAUGUGUUGAGCAGGUGUCUUGAUUAGUGUGUUUCUGCAGGACGGCAGCGGGGCCCUCCAGCGUAGCGGCUCUCUGGGCAAACUCAGAGAUGUCCUGCGUCGUAGCAGCGAACUGCUGGUCAAGAAACUGCAGGGCAACGGACCUCCAGAGCCGCGUAGCACCAACAUGAAGCGAGCCGCAUCGCUGAACUACCUGAA
Dunckerocampus dactyliophorus (ringed pipefish) is the source of this 6054-nucleotide RNA transcript. It is a transcript of the gene named kinesin light chain 1b, with no coding region annotated. The transcript is spliced from 15 exons. Lineage: Eukaryota; Metazoa; Chordata; Actinopteri; Syngnathiformes; Syngnathidae. The record is from RefSeq and is a predicted model, not a curated record.